CUAAAUUACCUUAAGUCACCUUUUUUUUAACCUCUACUUAGCAGUCUGCUUUUAUCGUUUAUCUAGUUCCACCGAUUGCACUUUGAGUCUUAAGCUCUGACUCGAACAUUAAAGAACCCCACCUCGUGCUAUAUUUUAUUUCAAUUUCUGCCUUCCACAACUAAAAUAGGUAAAACCCGAGUGAAAUUUAAAUACUCCGAGUUAUAUCACGAGGUCCCACGAUUUCGGCUUACGCGCAAUUUUCCACCGUCCCCGGUGACGAGGGAAAUCGCACACAGACCAAACAAGUUUUUCUCCACAUCCAACAUGUAUUAUAUAUUUAUAUACAUAUACUCGUAUAUAUGUAGAUACCUUUAACAUCCGAUCGGCUUAUGAAAAUUGACGGAUGACUAGAAAAUUGAUUUUCGCUUGCGCAACUCCCGUCUGGAGACUAAGAUUAGGACACCUUGAACCAUUUAUAUUCUUAUUUUUACUAACCCUCCCCACUAAUCCGCUCUUGAGAAAUUUUUUCGCUUGGCUCGGCCCAAAAAAAAACGAAGAAACUUCUGAGACCCCUUUUUUUAGAGUUUCUUCUCCGGAUUAAUUUUGUAACUUUCUUAUGAAAGUCUUGGGCAAUUCAGGGCCCCCACUUGUACAGCAUUCAAUCGGGACGGGGCUGUUGAGCUGGAUUAGAAAUGCAUUCGGCUGUGAACGAAAAUCUGAGGUAUACUGCCGAGAAACGUAAAGAAAUCGGUAACCAGUCGUGUGUACCAGCUCUCCGGCGGAGGUGGAAAACGAGAGCGAGUCGAAUUUUCGGUUGGUUAGCUGGAUUAAUACGCGAGACCGUGGAAAAUAGGGGCACCGGCAUUGUCAGCAUAACUCCUAGCAGGAUCAUCACAAGUGAAAACAAAACAUAAAAGGAAGCUAGCUUUGGCAAAUACACGGUGCGUCCAUUAAGUUUCGAGACUGAUUCCAUAAAUCGCAAAAUAAACAAGAUAUUUCAAGUUUUUCAAAUUUAUUAUUUGAAGUAUUCUCCCUUCGCUUUAAUACACUUCUUACAGCGAUUCAAUAGUGAUUCAAAUGCGUGCUUCAGCUCAUUUUGUGGAAUAGCCUCCAAUGCUCAUGUCGAAGCCGUUUUAAUGGUCUCAACAUCUUCAAAAAAGCAUCCUUUCAACUUCAACUUCAACUUUGGAAACAAGGAGAAGUCCCAAGGCGCCAAAUCAGGUGAAUACGGUGGGUGGUCCAACACACAGACUUGAUUUCGGGCCAAAAACUGACGAACAAUGAUUGAUUUGUGACUCGGCGCAUUGUCGUGCAACAGACACCAUUUCUCUGGAUCGCGAUAUUCGGGUCGAGUACGACGGAUUCUGGCCAUCAAAUGCUUUAAAACUUCAAGACAUUGAUUCCCAAAGUGGUCCAGGUGGACCACUGGGGGUUCACGGGUAACUCGACGGGGGUCUACGUUCGGCGUGACAAAAAAUGGGGGUCUACACUUUGUGUACGGGGGUGCAUGAAAUUUAACUCAGUCUCGAUAGUGAAGAACUAAAAUGUUGGCUUGACUUCUUCUAUCAAUAUCGGCAGAUAAUGUUUUAAGAAGCUCAGCGACUGCUACUUGUAAAAACAUGUAUAAUAAUAUUCCAUAUUCAGUACAACUGUGAAACAGAAGUGGAGAAUGUGAUAUUACAACAGGAGCUACUCGAGCUUAGCACUAAUGAGGAGCUGAAAGUAACAUUUAAAAAAGGGUAUCAAAAAUUUUGGCUGCAGGCAGAAAUACCUAACUAAGACUGUGGACAAUAGCGAAAAAGCUUCUUAUAGCGUUUCCCUCGUUAAAAAAAAAGUUUUAGUGCCGUUACAAACUUAUCAUAUACUUGAAUAUCACAAAACGGGGAGAUUUGCGGUUAUUACUUACAAAACUCAAGCCAGAUAUUGAUAAUUCGCUAACAAAACAUCAAGUAUGUACAUCCAUCUCAUUAAAAUUAUACAUUUUUCGUAGUUACCAUUGUAGAAGUUACAUUACGUUAUAAGUGUUUAAUUUUUAUUACGUUACGACUAUUAUAACAAUAAUAAUUAAUAUUGUAAUAAUUUCAAUAUUUGAAUAUAUACCUACAACACAAUGAAAUACCUA
This is a long non-coding RNA of Drosophila ficusphila, 2104 nucleotides long. RefSeq lists it as uncharacterized. Lineage: Eukaryota; Metazoa; Arthropoda; Insecta; Diptera; Drosophilidae. The transcript has 2 exons. The record is from RefSeq and is a predicted model, not a curated record.